This is a long non-coding RNA of Antechinus flavipes (yellow-footed antechinus), 1676 nucleotides long. RefSeq lists it as uncharacterized. The record is from RefSeq and is a predicted model, not a curated record. The transcript is spliced from 2 exons. NCBI's taxonomy places the organism in Eukaryota, Metazoa, Chordata, Mammalia, Dasyuromorphia, Dasyuridae.
AGACAAAAGAAGAAAUUCCAGCACCAAGUAUUCUGGAGAAGAAGAUUUCUCAGACAACACUCAGUUGUUGGACCAGGUUGACUGCUUCAGUGGACCUGAGGGUCCUUUUCCUGUUCUCAUCCAUCUAGAUACAAACUCAAUUCCUAUAUCUCCAGGGAAAACCAGUGGGAGAAGUAAAGACAAUGUGGAACACAAGCCAAAUUCUGAUGAUAUCAAAAAAUCUCUGGUGGUGACAUAAAUCAAAAAGGGAUUUCUGUGUGAUGCCUCCAAGACAGAACCCUGCCCAUGUGAAAACUACACAAAACAACAACAGCAAAGAGUCUCUGUUUAGGACUAUGGAUUACAUGGAUUAAACUCCAUUUAAUCAGCAUAGUCAUAUACCUACUACAUCCAAAAUAUCAGCUGUAGCAACUGAAAGGAUUUCCAGUUUUUUCCCAAAAAUAUUUAAAAACAAAGCUCUUAGAGUGAAAUAGAAAAGGAAGCAUCCUGUAAGGAUCCUCAGCAUUCUCUGUUACAACUAACUAGCCAAUGAAUAAUUUACAGCUAAGAGUGUUUUGAGGGGAUAAAAUUGUUGAUAAGUCAGGGAAAAAAACCUCUUAGCAGUAAAGCUGAGCAAUCCAUCUUCAAGAAACAGGUUUCAAAUAUACAGUUUAUGAAUACAUUGAAGGUUUUUUUAUCUAUAUGGAAAUUGGUCAAUUGUAAUAUAUGUUACAUUUCAGUAUGAACUUGGGUCUGAAUGAUAUCAGAGUCAGGAAUUAAAGCAUCAUUUCAAAAGGCUAGAAAGGACACAAAAAAAUAAGAACAACAAAAUGACACUUCCUAUCCAAGGCUGAGCAGAAAUAUGCUCUGUAUUUAAAAUGCUGAGUGUAAUGCAUUAGUAUUCUAGGAAUGAUGCCAUUUGAACAGAACCAUAUUCAAUCUUGUACGAGCAUAAUGGCCGACUUGAUCUGAGAGCAGUUUCCUCAGGGAAUCCUGAACCAAAAGCCAUGAAGCCCCAUUGCUCAGACCUCUGAUUUACUGAAUCUCAGUCAUUCUCUCUUAUAAUCAGAGUAGUCCACACUUAGGCAUUACAUUAUAGUAACAAAAAGCUUUCCUCACACCAAUCCUGUAAGUUUCAUUGUGCAGGUUUUGAUUUUGGCUCUAAAUCAAAACUGAGACAGAGAGGAGAGAGAAGUGACUUUCCUGUGGUCACCUUGCUAAUAAGGGGAAAAACCGAAAGUCAAAAUUGUUCCUCUGACAAUAUGAUGAAUAUUACACCACCCUGACUUUCAAUAGUGGAUUGUGUUUGAUAAAUAUGAUGCUACUGACCCAUCAUUAGCAGAGUUUUUUUAAUUAAUAGAUCACAUUUUUUCCAGUGUAACAGAGCGAUAGAGAAGGGUGGACAUUCUUUGUACAAUCUACCAGGAAAGGCAAAUGUGGGGGGUGAGGGGUGAAUGGAGAAGAAUCAAAUAUCUCAUAUGUUCAUGAGAGCCUGUAUAUCCACAAACUGUCCACCAGUUUCUCUGGUAAUGAAGGAAUGGAUUUAUAAAACGGUAGAACUAUAGGCUUUGUCACUGGAGCAGAUGACUCAAUCAAUCAAGCAAUCAACCCACAAAUAUGUAUACAUAUCUACAAUAAAUCCAACACUGUUAUAUACUGUAGAUACAAACUAAAAAUAAAAUAAUUCUUACCCUCAA